CGUAAGGCGCCGAAUGAGUCAUUAAAAAAUUAACAUCAUCCGAUCCCUAGUCGGCAUAGUUUAUGGUUAAGACUACGACGGUAUCUGAUCGUCUUCGAUCCCCUAACUUUCGUUCUUGAUUAAUGAAAACAUCCUUGGCAAACGCUUUCGCAGUAGUUAGUCUUCAAUAAAUCCAAGAAUUUCACCUCUGACAAUUGAAUACUAAUGCCCCCAAUAUCCCUAAUUAAUCAUUACGUCAAUCCUAGAAACCAACAAAAUAGGAUCGAACGUCCUAUUCAUUAUUCCAUGCUAAUGUAUUCAAGCGUUAAGCCUGCUUUAAACACUCUAA
RNAcentral lists this ribosomal RNA (328 nucleotides) under uncultured Glomus. Its description in RNAcentral is "partial 18S ribosomal RNA". Lineage: Eukaryota; Fungi; Glomeromycota; Glomeromycetes; Glomerales; Glomeraceae. The record is from RNAcentral.